UGAGGAAUAUUGCACAAUGGGCGCAAGCCUGAUGCAGCAACGCCGCGUGAGGGACGAAGGCCUUCGGGUCGUAAACCUCUUUUCUAGGGGACGAGUAAGGACGGUACCCCAGGAAUAAGUCUCGGCUAACUACGUGCCAGCAGCCGCGGUAAAACGUAGGAGGCGAGCGUUAUCCGGAUUUACUGGGCGUAAAGCGUACGCAGGUGGCUUCGUUAGUCGGACAUGAAAGCUCCUGGCUUAACUGGGAGAGGUUGUUCGAUACUGCGGGGCUUGAGGUUGGGAGAGGGACGUGGAAUUCCCGGUGUAGUGGUGGAAUGCGUAGAUAUCGGGGGGAACACCAGUGGCGCAAGCGGCGUCCUGGCCCACACCUGACGCUGAGGUACGAAAGCGUGGGUAGCAAACAG
This 404-nucleotide ribosomal RNA is filed under the name uncultured bacterium. Its description in RNAcentral is "bacterial SSU rRNA". It matches the Rfam family "Bacterial small subunit ribosomal RNA", at positions 355 to 775 of the family's 1533-position model. The record is from RNAcentral.